Molecule: ribosomal RNA, 567 nt
Filed under: uncultured Acidobacteriota bacterium
Lineage: Bacteria; Pseudomonadati; Acidobacteriota
Description: bacterial SSU rRNA
Rfam family: Bacterial small subunit ribosomal RNA
Source: RNAcentral
GGGGCGCUAAUACCGCAUAACAUCCCGCUUUUGGAGAAGUGGAGAUCAAAGCCGGGGAUCGCAAGACCUGGCGCUUGAAGAGGGGCCCGCGCCUGAUUAGCUAGUUGGUAGGGUAACGGCCUACCAAGGCGACGAUCAGUAGCCGGCCUGAGAGGGCGGACGGCCACACUGGGACUGAGACACGGCCCAGACUCCUACGGGAGGCAGCAGUGGGGAAUUGUUCGCAAUGGGCGCAAGCCUGACGACGCAACGCCGCGUGGAGGAUGAAGAUCUUCGGGUCGUAAACUCCUGUCGAGUGGGAAGAACCGCUUCGGGGCUAAUACCCCCGGAGCCUGACGGUACCACUAAAGGAAGCCCCGGCUAACUCCGUGCCAGCAGCCGCGGUAAUACGGGGGGGGCAAGCGUUGUUCGGAAUUACUGGGCGUAAAGGGCUCGUAGGCGGCCGACUAAGUCGGAUGUGAAAUCCCCAGGCUCAACCUGGGAACUGCAUCCGAUACUGGCCGGCUUGAAUCCGGGAGAGGGAUGCGGAAUUCCAGGUGUAGCGGUGAAAUGCGUAGAUAUCUGGAG